GACGAACGCUGGCGGCGUGCCUAAUACAUGCAAGUCGAGCGAAGUUUUUCUGGUGCUUGCACUAGAAAAACUUAGCGGCGAACGGGUGAGUAACACGUAAAGAACCUGCCUCAUAGACUGGGACAACUAUUGGAAACGAUAGCUAAUACCGGAUAACAGCAUUAACUGCAUGGUUGAUGUUUAAAAGUUGGUUAUGCUAACACUAUGAGAUGGCUUUGCGGUGCAUUAGCUAGUUGGUGGGGUAAAGGCCUACCAAGGCGACGAUGCAUAGCCGACCUGAGAGGGUGAUCGGCCACACUGGGACUGAGACACGGCCCAGACUCCUACGGGAGGCAGCAGUAGGGAAUCUUCCGCAAUGGGCGAAAGCCUGACGGAGCAACGCCGCGUGAGUGAAGAAGGAUUUCGGUUCGUAAAGCUCUGUUGUUAGGGAAGAAUGAUUGUGUAGUAACUAUACACAGUAGAGACGGUACCUAACCAGAAAGCCACGGCUAACUACGUGCCAGCAGCCGCGGUAAUACGUAGGUGGCAAGCGUUGUCCGGAAUUAUUGGGCGUAAAGCGCGCGCAGGUGGUUUAAUAAGUCUGAUGUGAAAGCCCACGGCUCAACCGUGAAGGGUCAUUGGAAACUGUUAAACUUGAGUGCAGGAGAGAAAAGUGGAAUUCCUAGUGUAGCGGUGAAAUGCUUAGAUAUCAUGACGAACUCCGGUUGCGCAGGCAGCUUACUGUAGCAUAACUGACGCUGAUGCUCGAAAGUGCGGGUAUCAAACAGG
Molecule: ribosomal RNA, 768 nt
Filed under: uncultured bacterium
Lineage: Bacteria
Description: bacterial SSU rRNA
Rfam family: Bacterial small subunit ribosomal RNA
Source: RNAcentral